RNAcentral lists this non-coding RNA (99 nucleotides) under uncultured Akkermansia sp. RNAcentral describes it as "TPP riboswitch (THI element)". It matches the Rfam family "TPP riboswitch aptamer (THI element)", at positions 7 to 92 of the family's 105-position model. From Rfam's summary of the family: Vitamin B(1) in its active form thiamin pyrophosphate (TPP) is an essential coenzyme that is synthesised by coupling of pyrimidine and thiazole moieties in bacteria. The previously detected thiamin-regulatory element, thi box was extended, resulting in a new, highly conserved RNA secondary structure, the THI element, which is widely distributed in eubacteria and also occurs in some archaea. The record is from RNAcentral. Lineage: Bacteria; Pseudomonadati; Verrucomicrobiota; Verrucomicrobiia; Verrucomicrobiales; Akkermansiaceae.
CGACAGGGGAGCAUGCCGUGCUGAGACAGGAUACCCGUUCCGCGUAUCCGAAACCCUCCGAACCUGAUAAGGUUAAUACCUUCGCAGGGAGUCGCUGAG